UACAGUGGUCUCAAGCGUUGUUCGGAAUCACUGGGCGUAAAGGGUGCGUAGGUGGCGUGGAAAGUCAGAUGUGAAAUCCGGAGGCUCAACCUCCGAAUAGCAUCCGAUACUCCCAUGCUAGAGAACUGGAGGGGGAUCUGGAAUUCUCGGUGUAGCAGUGAAAUGCGUAGAUAUCGAGAGGAACACUAGUGGCGAAGGCGAGAUCCUGGACAGUUUCUGACACUGAUGCACGAAGGCCAGGGGAGCGAACGGG
RNAcentral lists this ribosomal RNA (253 nucleotides) under uncultured bacterium. RNAcentral's name for it is "partial 16S ribosomal RNA". It matches the Rfam family "Bacterial small subunit ribosomal RNA", at positions 524 to 776 of the family's 1533-position model. The record is from RNAcentral.